This is a long non-coding RNA of Lontra canadensis (Northern American river otter), 956 nucleotides long. RefSeq lists it as uncharacterized. The record is from RefSeq and is a predicted model, not a curated record. The transcript is spliced from 3 exons. NCBI's taxonomy places the organism in Eukaryota, Metazoa, Chordata, Mammalia, Carnivora, Mustelidae.
ACAGUUCAGCACUUUCCUGUGCCAACUGGCAUCUCCAAAGAGGGCUCUGGAGAUUGGUAAAAACCAAACUGGAACGGAUUCUUCUAGAACCUGGAGCUUAAAAAAUAAAAGGCGGCAGAGGCUUGAGGUGCUUUGCUCCUACUCGGUCCUAAGUGAGGCCACCUGGUGGACAGAGGCGGCAUUGCAGCCAGAGGGAGCGGCGCAGCCGGAAGAAGGGACAGUGUGGAAGACCAGAGACAGGAAGGCCACUGCCACUUACAUCGUUACUCUGGCUUCAUGGAAAAUCCCCAAAGUCCAGAAGGAGGGAAGCAAGAAGGAAAGACGGUGACAGAGAAAGUGCCUUGUCCUCUGUGGGUCAUGUGAACUGCCCCGCAUGGCCAAGGCCCAGAACCCCCGACUCUGGGGGGCAGGAAAACGGGGAGGAGGAUGUGGACACAGAUGCGGAAGGCGAUGGUGGGAGGGACCCGGAGGAGAACCCCCGUGGAGACGGCCGCUGUCUUGGAGAAGCAGCUCCAACAACCGAUUUGGGCCAAACCCUGACACCAAAUGACGACAGGAGCAAUGAAUCGUGCCUUUCAGCUCUCUCGCCGACAGGGUCCCAUGUGAGCCUUCACAAACAAUCUCCGAGUGACGCGAGGGAUGACAGGCAGAACCAAACCCCAUUCUGACAGGGCAGUCCGUCCCCUCCCCCUCAUUCAAAGAGGUUCAAAAGUGCUCUUGUCCCAGCCAUCUUUGUCACCCCAGCUUUGGUGGCGAACCGUGAAGGGGAGGCCGUUUGUCCUGGUGUCUCAGCGAGACUGGAAGUCUUGGCAACAUGACCCAUGAAUGCUGUUUAGUUCAGUGGCUCUUAAACCUCAUGAACCUUGUGUCAGUAUUUAUGCCUGUCUCCCUUCGCCUUAUGCCUUGCAACUGGGAAAGUUCACCUUCAGACUUUUUCCAAGAUCACUUCUCAUUUU